GACCAUUUGAGUGCUGCAUUGAUAAUGAUAAAAUAAAAACCUCCAACACAUUAGGUAGAAUUCCCUAUGGAGGUUUCACAGAGAGACUCUGAAAAGAGUCUCAUAGGAUAAAAACACAUAAAGAAAUUUUCCUUUUUUUCCCUAAUGGGGAGGAGAUGGAAAGAAAGGGGAAAAGGAAAAGGAGUGAAAGAAAGGAAAGAAAGAAAGGGGAAAGGAAGGAAAGAAAGAAAGGGGAAAGGAAGGAAGGAAGGAAGGAAGGAAGGAAGGAAGGAAGGAAGGAAGGAAGGAAGGAAGGAAGGAAGGGGAAAG
RNAcentral lists this long non-coding RNA (309 nucleotides) under Monodelphis domestica (gray short-tailed opossum). Its description in RNAcentral is "lncRNA (ENSMODG00000027627.2)". The record is from RNAcentral. Lineage: Eukaryota; Metazoa; Chordata; Mammalia; Didelphimorphia; Didelphidae.